This 47-nucleotide non-coding RNA is filed under the name Sulfitobacter pontiacus. Its description in RNAcentral is "Guanidine-II riboswitch aptamer (mini-ykkC)". It matches the Rfam family "Guanidine-II riboswitch aptamer (mini-ykkC)". Rfam says of the family: Simpler in structure and has fewer highly conserved nucleotide positions than the ykkC-yxkD leader. Despite this each of its two stem-loop structures directly bind free guanidine. The record is from Rfam by way of RNAcentral. Lineage: Bacteria; Pseudomonadati; Pseudomonadota; Alphaproteobacteria; Rhodobacterales; Roseobacteraceae. RNAcentral also lists the same sequence under 1 other name.
GUGUGAGGACGACCUCCCCUGAAUGGAAAACUGUCGGGACGACCCGG